RNAcentral lists this microRNA precursor (62 nucleotides) under Mus spretus (western wild mouse). RNAcentral describes it as "microRNA 7669 (ENSMSPG00010051022.1)". Lineage: Eukaryota; Metazoa; Chordata; Mammalia; Rodentia; Muridae. The record is from RNAcentral.
AGUACCACCAAACACAGCUUUUGUUGUUGUAAGACGAGCUGGGUGUGGUGGCACGCACAUGC